This 10514-nucleotide long non-coding RNA is filed under the name Homo sapiens (human). RNAcentral describes it as "non-protein coding XIST:46". The stretch from base 8539 to 8664 matches the Rfam family "X-chromosome inactivation gene exon 4". The record is from RNAcentral. Lineage: Eukaryota; Metazoa; Chordata; Mammalia; Primates; Hominidae.
CCAGCCCUAGCCCCAGUCCCAGUCCUAGUUCCUCAGUCCCGCCCAGCUUCUCUCGAAAGUCACUCUAAUUUUCAUUGAUUCAGUGCUCAAAAUAAGUUGUCCAUUGCUUAUCCUAUUAUACUGGGAUAUUCCGUUUACCCUUGGCAUUGCUGAUCUUCAGUACUGACUCCUUGACCAUUUUCAGUUAAUGCAUACAAUCCCAUUUGUCUGUGAUCUCAGGACAAAGAAUUUCCUUACUCGGUACGUUGAAGUUAGGGAAUGUCAAUUGAGAGCUUUCUAUCAGAGCAUUAUUGCCCACAAUUUGAGUUACUUAUCAUUUUCUCGAUCCCCUGCCCUUAAAGGAGAAACCAUUUCUCUGUCAUUGCUUCUGUAGUCACAGUCCCAAUUUUGAGUAGUGAUCUUUUCUUGUGUACUGUGUUGGCCACCUAAAACUCUUUGCAUUGAGUAAAAUUCUAAUUGCCAAUAAUCCUACCCAUUGGAUUAGACAGCACUCUGAACCCCAUUUGCAUUCAGCAGGGGGUCGCAGACAACCCGUCUUUUGUUGGACAGUUAAAAUGCUCAGUCCCAAUUGUCAUAGCUUUGCCUAUUAAACAAAGGCACCCUACUGCGCUUUUUGCUGUGCUUCUGGAGAAUCCUGCUGUUCUUGGACAAUUAAAGAACAAAGUAGUAAUUGCUAAUUGUCUCACCCAUUAAUCAUGAAGACUACCAGUCGCCCUUGCAUUUGCCUUGAGGCAGCGCUGACUACCUGAGAUUUAAGAGUUUCUUAAAUUAUUGAGUAAAAUCCCAAUUAUCCAUAGUUCUGUUAGUUACACUAUGGCCUUUGCAAACAUCUUUGCAUAACAGCAGUGGGACUGACUCAUUCUUAGAGCCCCUUCCCUUGGAAUAUUAAUGGAUACAAUAGUAAUUAUUCAUGGUUCUGCGUAACAGAGAAGACCCACUUAUGUGUAUGCCUUUAUCAUUGCUCCUAGAUAGUGUGAACUACCUACCACCUUGCAUUAAUAUGUAAAACACUAAUUGCCCAUAGUCCCACUCAUUAGUCUAGGAUGUCCUCUUUGCCAUUGCUGCUGAGUUCUGACUACCCAAGUUUCCUUCUCUUAAACAGUUGAUAUGCAUAAUUGCAUAUAUUCAUGGUUCUGUGCAAUAAAAAUGGAUUCUCACCCCAUCCCACCUUCUGUGGGAUGUUGCUAACGAGUGCAGAUUAUUCAAUAACAGCUCUUGAACAGUUAAUUUGCACAGUUGCAAUUGUCCAGAGUCCUGUCCAUUAGAAAGGGACUCUGUAUCCUAUUUGCACGCUACAAUGUGGGCUGAUCACCCAAGGACUCUUCUUGUGCAUUGAUGUUCAUAAUUGUAUUUGUCCACGAUCUUGUGCACUAACCCUUCCACUCCCUUUGUAUUCCAGCAGGGGACCCUUACUACUCAAGACCUCUGUACUAGGACAGUUUAUGUGCACAAUCCUAAUUGAUUAGAACUGAGUCUUUUAUAUCAAGGUCCCUGCAUCAUCUUUGCUUUACAUCAAGAGGGUGCUGGUUACCUAAUGCCCCUCCUCCAGAAAUUAUUGAUGUGCAAAAUGCAAUUUCCCUAUCUGCUGUUAGUCUGGGGUCUCAUCCCCUCAUAUUCCUUUUGUCUUACAGCAGGGGGUACUUGGGACUGUUAAUGCGCAUAAUUGCAAUUAUGGUCUUUUCCAUUAAAUUAAGAUCCCAACUGCUCACACCCUCUUAGCAUUACAGUAGAGGGUGCUAAUCACAAGGACAUUUCUUUUGUACUGUUAAUGUGCUACUUGCAUUUGUCCCUCUUCCUGUGCACUAAAGACCCCACUCACUUCCCUAGUGUUCAGCAGUGGAUGACCUCUAGUCAAGACCUUUGCACUAGGAUAGUUAAUGUGAACCAUGGCAACUGAUCACAACAAUGUCUUUCAGAUCAGAUCCAUUUUAUCCUCCUUGUUUUACAGCAAGGGAUAUUAAUUACCUAUGUUACCUUUCCCUGGGACUAUGAAUGUGCAAAAUUCCAAUGUUCAUGGUCUCUCCCUUUAAACCUAUAUUCUACCCCUUUUACAUUAUAGAAAGGGAUGCUGGAAACCCAGAGUCCUUCUCUUGGGACUCUUAAUGUGUAUUUCUAAUUAUCCAUGACUCUUAAUGUGCAUAUUUUCAAUUGCCUAAUUGAUUUCAAUUGUCUAAGACAUUUCAAAUGUCUAAUUGAUUAGAACUGAGUCUUUUAUAUCAAGCUAAUAUCUAGCUUUUAUAUCAAGCUAAUAUCUUGACUUCUCAGCAUCAUAGAAGGGGGUACUGAUUUCCUAAAGUCUUUCUUGAAUUUCUAUUAUGCAAAAUUGCCCUGAGGCCGGGUGUGGUGGCUCACACCUGUAAUCCCAGCACUUUGGGAGGCUGAGGUGGGAAGAUCCCUUACUGCCAGGAGUUUGAGACCAGCCUGGCCAACAUUAAAAAAAAAAAAAAGUAAGACAAUUGCCCUGGAAUCCCAUCCCCCUCACACCUCCUUGGCAAAGCAGCAGGAGUGCUAACUAGCUAGUGCUUCUUCUCUUAUACUGCUUAAAUGCGCAUAAUUAGCAGUAGUUGAUGUGCCCCUAUGUUAGAGUAGAAUCCCGCUUCCUUGCUCCAUUUGCAUUACUGCAGGAGCUUCUAACUAGCCUGAAUUCACUCUCUUGGACUGUUAAUGUGCAUACUUAUAUUUGCUGCUGUACUUUUUUACCAUGUAAGGACCCCACCCACUGUAUUUACAUCCCAGCUGGAAGUACCUACUACUUAAGACCCUUAGACUAGUAAAGUUAGCGUGCAUAAUCUUAGGUGUUAUAUACACAUUUUCAGUUGCAUACAGUUGUGCCUUUUAUCAGGACUCCUGUACUUAUCAAAGCAGAGAGUGCUAAUCAAUAUUAAGCCCUUCUCUUCGAACUGUAGAUGGCAUGUAAUUGCAGUUGUCAAUGGUCCUUCAAUUAGACUUGGGUUUCUGACCUAUCACACCCUCUUUGCUUUAUUGCAUGGGGUACUAUUCACUUAAGGCCCCUUUCUCAAACUGUUAAUGUGCCUAAUGACAAUUACAUCAGUAUCCUUCCUUUUGAAGGACAGCAUGGUUGGUGACACCUAAGGCCCCAUUUCUUGGCCUCCCAAUAUGUGUGAUUGUAUUUGUCGAGGUUGCUAUGCACUAGAGAAGGAAAGUGCUCCCCUCAUCCCCACUUUUCCCUUCCAGCAGGAAGUGCCCACCCCAUAAGACCCUUUUAUUUGGAGAGUCUAGGUGCACAAUUGUAAGUGACCACAAGCAUGCAUCUUGGACAUUUAUGUGCGUAAUCGCACACUGCUCAUUCCAUGUGAAUAAGGUCCUACUCUCCGACCCCUUUUGCAAUACAGAAGGGUUGCUGAUAACGCAGUCCCCUUUUCUUGGCAUGUUGUGUGUGAUUAUAAUCGUCUGGGAUCCUAUGCACUAGAAAAGGAGGGUCCUCUCCACAUACCUCAGUCUCACCUUUCCCUUCCAGCAGGGAGUGCCCACUCCAUAAGACUCUCACAUUUGGACAGUCAAGGUGCGUAAUUGUUAAGUGAACACAACCAUGCACCUUAGACAUGGAUUUGCAUAACUACACACAGCUCAACCUAUCUGAAUAAAAUCCUACUCUCAGACCCCUUUUGCAGUACAGCAGGGGUGCUGAUCACCAAGGCCCUUUUUCCUGGCCUGGUAUGCGUGUGAUUAUGUUUGUCCCGGUUCCUGUGUAUUAGACAUGGAAGCCUCCCCUGCCACACUCCACCCCCAAUCUUCCUUUCCCUUCCGGCAGGGAGUGCCCUCUCCAUAAGACGCUUACGUUUGGACAAUCAAGGUGCACAGUUGUAAGUGACCACAGGCAUACACCUUGGACAUUAAUGUGCAUAACCACUUUGCCCAUUCCAUCUGAAUAAGGUCCUACUCUCAGACCCCUUUUGCAGUACAGCAGGGGUGCUGAUCACCAAGGCCCCUUUUCUUGGCCUGUUAUGUGCGUGAUUAUAUUUGUCUGGGUUCCUGUGUAUUAGACAAGGAAGCCUUCCCCCCGCCCCCACCCCCACUCCCAGUCUUCCUUUCCCUUCCAGCAGGGAGUGCCCCCUCCAUAAGAUCAUUACAUUUGGACAAUCAAGGUGCACAAUUAUAAGUGACCACAGCCAUGCACCUUGGACAUUAUUGGACAUUAAUGUGCGUAACUGCACAUGGCCCAUCCCAUCUGAAUAAGGUCCUACUCUCAGAUGCCCUUUGCAGUACAGCAGGGGUACUGAAUCACCAAGGCCCUUUUUCUUGGCCUGUUAUGUGUGUGAUUAUAUUUAUCCCAGUUUCUGUGUAAUAGACAUGAAAGCCUCCCCUGCCACACCCCACCUCCAAUCUUCCUUUCCCUUCCACCAGGGAGUGUCCACUCCAUAUACCCUUACAUUUGGACAAUCAAGGUGCACAAUUGUAAGUGAGCAUAGGCACUCACCUUGGACAUGAAUGUGCAUAACUGCACAUGGCCCAUCCCAUCUGAAUAAGGUCCUACUCUCAGACCCUUUUUGCAGUACAGCAGGGGUGCUGAUCACCAAGGCCCCUUUUCCUGGCCUGUUAUGUGUGUGAUUAUAUUUGUUCCAGUUCCUGUGUAAUAGACAUGGAAGCCUCCCCUGCCACACUCCACCCCCAAUCUUCCUUUCCCUUCUGGCAGGAAGUACCCGCUCCAUAAGACCCUUACAUUUGGACAGUCAAGGUGCACAAUUGUAUGUGACCACAACCAUGCACCUUGGACAUAAAUGUGUGUAACUGCACAUGGCCCAUCCCAUCUGAAUAAGGUCCUACUCUCAGACCCCUUUUGCAGUACAGUAGGUGUGCUGAUAACCAAGGCCCCUCUUCCUGGCCUGUUAACGUAUGUGAUUAUAUUUGUCUGGGUUCCAGUGUAUAAGACAUGGAAGCCUCCCCUGCCCCACCCCACCCUCAAUCUUCCUUUCCCUUCUGGCAGGGAGUGCCAGCUCCAUAAGAACCUUACAUUUGGACAGUCAAGGUGCACAAUUCUAAGUGACCGCAGCCAUGCACCUUGGUCAAUAAUGUGUGUAACUGCACACGGCCUAUCUCAUCUGAAUAAGGCCUUACUCUCAGACCCCUUUUGCAGUACAGCAGGGGUGCUGAUAACCAAGGCCCAUUUUCCUGGCCUGUUAUGUGUGUGAUUAUAUUUGUCCAGGUUUCUGUGUACUAGACAAGGAAGCCUCCUCUGCCCCAUCCCAUCUACGCAUAAUCUUUCUUUUCCUCCCAGCAGGGAGUGCUCACUCCAUAAGACCCUUACAUUUGGACAAUCAAGGUGCACAAUUGUAAGUGACCACAACCAUGCAUCUUGGAAAUUUAUGUGCAUAACUGCACAUGGCUUAUCCUAUUUGAAUAAAGUCCUACUCUCAGACCCCCUUUGCAGUAUAGCUGGGGUGCUGAUCACUGAGGCCUCUUUGCUUGGCUUGUCUAUAUUCUUGUGUACUAGAUAAGGGCACCUUCUCAUGGACUCCCUUUGCUUUUCAACAAGGAGUACCCACUACUUUUUAAGAUUCUUAUAUUUGUCCAAAGUACAUGGUUUUAAUUGACCACAACAAUGUCCCUUGGACAUUAAUGUAUGUAAUCACCACAUGGUUCAUCCUAAUUAAACAAAGUUCUACCUUCUCACCCUCCAUUUGCAGUAUACCAGGGUUGCUGACCCCCUAAGUCCCCUUUUCUUGGCUUGUUGACAUGCAUAAUUGCAUUUAUGUUGGUUCUUGUGCCCUAGACAAGGAUGCCCCACCUCUUUUCAAUAGUGGGUGCCCACUCCUUAUGAUCUUUACAUUUGAACAGUUAAUGUGAAUAAUUGCAGUUGUCCACAACCCUAUCACUUCUAGGACCAUUAUACCUCUUUUGCAUUACUGUGGGGUAUACUGUUUCCCUCCAAGGCCCCUUCUGGUGGACUAUCAACAUAUAAUUGAAAUUUUCUUUUGUCUUUGUCAGUAGAUUAAGGUCAUACCCCAUCACCUUUCCUUUGUAGUACAACAGGGUGUCCUGAUCAACCAAAGUCCUGUUGUUUUGGACUGUUAAUAUGUGCAAUUACAUUUGCUCCUGAUCUGUGCACUAGAUAAGGAUCCUACCUACUUUCUUAGUGUUUUUAGCAGGUAGUGCCCACUACUCAAGACUGUCACUUGGAAUGUUCAUGUGCACAAACUCAAUUCUCUAAGCAUGUUCCUGUACCACCUUUGCUUUAGAGCAGGGGGAUGAUAUUCACUAAGUGCCCCUUCUUUUGGACUUAAUAUGCAUUAAUGCAAUUGUCCACCUCUUCUUUUAGACUAAGAGUUGAUCUCCACAUAUUCCCCUUGCAUCAGGGGCAUGUUAAUUAUGAAUGAACCCUUUUCUUUUAAUAUUAAUGUCAUAAUUGUAUUUGUGGACCUGUGUAGGAGAAAAAGACCCUAUGUUCCUCCCAUUACCCUUUGGAUUGCUGCUGAGAAGUGUUAACUACUCAUAAUCUCAGCUCUUGGACAAUUAAUAGCAUUAAUAACAAUUAUCAAGGGCACUGAUCAUUAGAUAAGACUCCUGCUUCCUCGUUGCUUACAUCGGGGGUACUGACCCACUAAGGCCCCUUGUACUGUUAAUGUGAAUAUUUGCAAUUAUAUAUGUCUCCUUCUGGUAGAGUGGGAUAUUAUGCCCUAGUAUCCCCUUUGCAUUACUGCAGGGGCUGCUGACUACUCAAAACUUCUCCUGGGACUGUUAAUAGGCACAAUGGCAGUUAUCAAUGGUUUUCUCCCUCCCUGACCUUGUUAAGCAAGCGCCCCACCCCACCCUUAGUUUCCCAUGGCAUAAUAAAGUAUAAGCAUUGGAGUAUUCCAUGCACUUGUCUAUCAAACAGUGGUCCAUACUCCCAACCCUUUUGCAUUGCGCCAGUGUGUAAAAUCACAGGUAGCCAUGGUGUCAUGCUUUAUAUACGAAGUCUUCCCUCUCUCUGCCCCUUGUGUGCCCUUGGCCCCUUUUUACAGACUAUUGCUCACAAUCUCAGGUGUCCAUAUUUGCAGCUAUUAGGUAAGAUUGUGCUGUCUCCCUCUUCCCUUCCCUCUGCCCUGCCCCUUUUGCCUCUUUGCUGGGUAAUGUUGACCAGACAAGGCCCUUUCUCUUGGACUUAAACAAUUCUCAGUUGCACUUUCCUUGGUCCCACCCAUUAUACAUGAACCCCUCUACUUCCUUUCGCAUUGCUUCUGAGUAUGCUGACUACCCAAAGCCCCUUCUGUGUUAUUAAUAAACACAGUACUGAUUGUCCCAUUUUUCAGCCCAUCAGUCCAAGAUCUCCCUACCACUUUGGUGUGUUGGUGCAGUGUUGACUAUGAAAAGCAGGCCUGAACUAGGUGGAUAAGCCUUCACUCAUUUUCUUUCAUUUAUUAAUGAUCCUAGUUUCAAUUAUUGUCAGAUUCUGGGGACAAGAACCAUUCUUGCCCACCUGUGUUACUGCUUUACUGUGCAAAAUACUGAAGGCAAGUCAGACCCAGGGAGCUGGAUUGCCAUCCUUUAUUUUGUGUUUCCAGUGUACACUAUAAAAUUGUCUCCCCAGGAAGGAAGGUUGGCACUUUCUCUGCAUUCUUCUUUCCAGAGCAGAUUGCCUGGUUAAGAAUCUCUUGUUGUCCCCUUUGUAUAUUGUUAUUGUAAAGUGCCAAAUGCCAGGAUACAGCCAGAAAAAUUGCUUAUUAUUAUUAAAAAAAUUUUUUUAAGAAAGACAUCUGGAUUGUAGGGUGGACUCGAUAACCUGGUCAUUAUUUUUUUGAAGCCAAAAUAUCCAUUUAUACUAUGUACCUGGUGACCAGUGUCUCUCAUUUUAACUGAGGGUGGUGGGUCUGUGGAUAGAACACUGACUCUUGCUAUUUUAAUAUCAAAGAUAUUCUAGAGUGGAACUCUUAAGACCAGUAUCUUUGUGUGGGCUUUACCAGCAUUCACUUUUAGAAAAACUACCUAAAUUUUAUAAUCCUUUAAUUUCUUCAUCUGGAGCACCUGCCCCUACUUAUUUCAAGAAGAUUGCAGUAAAACGAUUAAAUGAGGGAACAUAUGCAGAGGUGCUUUUAAAAAGCAUAUGCCACCUUUUUUAUUAAUUAUUAUAUAAAAUGAAGCAUUUAAUUAUAGUAAUAAUUUGAAGUAGUUUGAAGUACCACACUGAGGUGAGGACUUAAAAAUGAUAAGACGAGUUCCCUAUUUUAUAAGAAAAAUAAGCCAAAAUUAAAUAUUCUUUUGGAUAUAAAUUUCAACAGUGAGAUAGCUGCCUAGUGGAAAUGAAUAAUAUCCCAGCCACUAGUGUACAGGGUGUUUUGUGGCACAGGAUUAUGUAAUAUGGAACUGCUCAAGCAAAUAACUAGUCAUCACAACAGCAGUUCUUUGUAAUAACUGAAAAAGAAUAUUGUUUCUCGGAGAAGGAUGUCAAAAGAUCGGCCCAGCUCAGGGAGCAGUUUGCCCUACUAGCUCCUCGGACAGCUGUAAAGAAGAGUCUCUGGCUCUUUAGAAUACUGAUCCCAUUGAAGAUACCACGCUGCAUGUGUCCUUAGUAGUCAUGUCUCCUUAGGCUCCUCUUGAUCUUCCUCAGAAGAAUAGGCUUGUUGUUUUACAGUGUUAGUGAUCCAUUCCCUUUGACGAUCCCUAGGUGGAGAUGGGGCAUGAGGAUCCUCCAGGGGAAAAGCUCACUACCACUGGGCAACAACCCUAGGUCAGGAGGUUCUGUCAAGAUACUUUCCUGGUCCCAGAUAGGAAGAUAAAGUCUCAAAAACAACCACCACACGUCAAGCUCUUCAUUGUUCCUAUCUGCCAAAUCAUUAUACUUCCUACAAGCAGUGCAGAGAGCUGAGUCUUCAGCAGGUCCAAGAAAUUUGAACACACUGAAGGAAGUCAGCCUUCCCACCUGAAGAUCAACAUGCCUGGCACUCUAGCACUUGAGGAUAGCUGAAUGAAUGUGUCUUACCCAUUUCCAUGUUUCUCUUGCUAAUUUCUUUCGUGUGUGCCUUUGCCUCAUUUUCUCUUUUUGUUCACAAGAGUGGUCUGUGUCUUGUCUUAGACAUAUCUCUCAUUUUUCAUUUUGUUGCUAUUUCUCUUUGCUCUCCUAGAUGUGGCUCUUCUUUCACGCUUUAUUUCAUGUCUCCUUUUUGGGUCACAUGCUGUGUGCUUUUUGUCCUUUUCUUGUUCUGUCUACCUCUCCUUUCUCUGCCUACCUCUCUUUUCUCUUUGUGAACUGUGAUUAUUUGUUACCCCUUCCCCUUCUCGUUCGUUUUAAAUUUCACCUUUUUUCUGAGUCUGGCCUCCUUUCUGCUGUUUCUACUUUUUAUCUCACAUUUCUCAUUUCUGCAUUUCCUUUCUGCCUCUCUUGGGCUAUUCUCUCUCUCCUCCCCUGCGUGCCUCAGCAUCUCUUGCUGUUUGUGAUUUUCUAUUUCAGUAUUAAUCUCUGUUGGCUUGUAUUUGUUCUCUGCUUCUUCCCUUUCUACUCACCUUUGAGUAUUUCAGCCUCUUCAUGAAUCUAUCUCCCUCUCUUUGAUUUCAUGUAAUCUCUCCUUAAAUAUUUCUUUGCAUAUGUGGGCAAGUGUACGUGUGUGUGUGUCAUGUGUGGCAGAGGGGCUUCCUAACCCCUGCCUGAUAGGUGCAGAACGUCGGCUAUCAGAGCAAGCAUUGUGGAGCGGUUCCUUAUGCCAGGCUGCCAUGUGAGAUGAUCCAAGACCAAAACAAGGCCCUAGACUGCAGUAAAACCCAGAACUCAAGUAGGGCAGAAGGUGGAAGGCUCAUAUGGAUAGAAGGCCCAAAGUAUAAGACAGAUGGUUUGAGACUUGAGACCCGAGGACUAAGAUGGAAAGCCCAUGUUCCAAGAUAGAUAGAAGCCUCAGGCCUGAAACCAACAAAAGCCUCAAGAGCCAAGAAAACAGAGGGUGGCCUGAAUUGGACCGAAGGCCUGAGUUGGAUGGAAGUCUCAAGGCUUGAGUUAGAAGUCUUAAGACCUGGGACAGGACACAUGGAAGGCCUAAGAACUGAGACUUGUGACACAAGGCCAACGACCUAAGAUUAGCCCAGGGUUGUAGCUGGAAGACCUACAACCCAAGGAUGGAAGGCCCCUGUCACAAAGCCUACCUAGAUGGAUAGAGGACCCAAGCGAAAAAGUUUCUGGCAUCACUACCACUACUGAUUAAACAAGAAUAAGAGAACAUUUUAUCAUCAUCUGCUUUAUUCACAUAAAUGAAGUUGUGAUGAAUAAAUCUGCUUUUAUGCAGACACAAGGAAUUAAGUGGCUUCGUCAUUGUCCUUCUACCUCAAAGAUAAUUUAUUCCAAAAGCUAAGAUAAAUGGAAGACUCUUGAACUUGUGAACUGAUGUGAAAUGCAGAAUCUCUUUUGAGUCUUUGCUGUUUGGAAGAUUGAAAAAUAUUGUUCAGCAUGGGUGACCACCAGAAAGUAAUCUUAAGCCAUCUAGAUGUCACAAUUGAAACAAACUGGGGAGUUGGUUGCUAUUGUAAAAUAAAAUAUACUGUUUUGAAAACUUUGUAUUUUGAUGUGACAAUUUCUAACUCACUGUCCCUAA